UCGCAUCGAUGAAGAACGCAGCGAAAUGCGAUAAGUAAUGUGAAUUGCAGAAUUCAGUGAAUCAUCGAAUCUUUGAACGCACCUUGCGCUCCUUGGUAUUCCGAGGAGCAUGCCUGUUUGAGUGUCAUUAAUAUAUCAACCUUCUCUUGUUGAGUGGUUUGGAUGUGGGGGUUUGCUGGCCUCUUGAAAGAGGUUAUAGCUCUCCUGAAAUGCAUUAGCGGAACAACCCUGUUCAUUGGUGUGAUAACUAUCUACGCUAUUGAAUGUGAAGGGCAGUUUGGCUUUCUAACAGUCCUUGGACAAAGCUCAUCAUUAAUGUGACCUCAAAUCAGGUAGGACUACCCGCUGAACUUAA
Molecule: small RNA, 355 nt
Filed under: uncultured fungus
Lineage: Eukaryota; Fungi
Description: eukaryotic LSU rRNA
Rfam family: 5.8S ribosomal RNA (bases 1-127)
Source: RNAcentral